Molecule: ribosomal RNA, 1258 nt
Filed under: Caenis sp. JYZ-2018
Lineage: Eukaryota; Metazoa; Arthropoda; Insecta; Ephemeroptera; Caenidae
Description: 16S ribosomal RNA
Rfam family: Bacterial large subunit ribosomal RNA (bases 828-1188)
Source: RNAcentral
AAUUAUUAAAGUCAGUUUUAGUAAAAUUAAUAGAUUUAAGUAAAAUAAUAUUUAAGAUAGUAAGUAGUAGUAUUAUGUAAAGAAUUUAUGUAAAUAUAGUAACUGUAAAGGUUUUAAUUGAAAUAUAAAAAUAAAAAAUUAAGAAAAAGUAGAUAAUUGUUGUACCUUUUGUAUCAGGGUUUAUUAAUAUAAAUUACUUUAAAUGUAAUUUCUCGAAUCGAGAAGAGUUAUAACAACUUGUUUUAUUAUGUAGAAAAAUAAUAAGUAAAUUUGUUGUAGGGACGAAAUGUUAGUCGUUUCUUGAGAUAUCUGGUUGUUUAUGAAAUAGAUUUAAUCUAGUCUUGUAUUUAAAAUUAAAAGUAAUGUUUUUAAAUGUAUGCGAGGGUAAAAUUGAGAGGGAUCAGCUUUUUAAUUAGGGUAGAUAUGAUUAGUAUUUAGUAUAUGUAGGCUUGAAAGUAGCAAUCAUAAAUAGUGUGUAAUAACUAAUAUUAUAAUAUAAAUAUUUAAAUUAUAUUACAUUUAUAAUAAACAAAUUAAUUUAAUUAAUAAAUUAAAAUUAUAAUGAUAAAAUUAUUAAAUUUUAAAAGUUUAAGUAAGGAACUCGGCAAAUAUAUUGUUUGACUGUUUAACAAAAACAUAGCUUCUUGUGUAUAUAGGAGGUAUAACCUGCCCACUGAAGAAUUAAAUGGCCGCGGUAUUUUGACCGUGCAAAGGUAGCAUAAUCAUUAGUCUUUUAAUUGGAGGCUGGAAUGAAGGGUUGCACAUAAUAAUAGCUGUCUCACUUAAAUAAAUAAAUUUAACUUUUAAGUGAAAAGGCUUAAAUAUAUUAAGGGGACGAGAAGACCCUAUAGAGCUUUAUUAAUAAAAUACUUAUAUCUUUAGAAGAAAUUAAAUAUAAAUGUUAGUUUAAUUGGAUUGGGGUGAUAAGAAAAUAAUAUAACUUUUCUAAAUAAAACAAUAAUAAUUGAUCAUAAGAUCCUUUAAUAAAGAUUAAAAGUUUAAGUUACCUUAGGGAUAACAGCGUAAUUCUUUUGGAGAGUUCUUAUCGAUAAAAGAGUUUGCGACCUCGAUGUUGGACUAAGAAAAGUAUUAGGGGCAGCCCCUUAAAUAACUAGGUCUGUUCGACCUUUAAAUUCUUACAUGAUCUGAGUUCAGACCGGCGUGAGCCAGGUCGGUUUCUAUCUUUUAUAAUUUAUACUUUUUUAGUACGAAAGGACCAAAAAGUAAAGAUAAUCUUAAAAUAAAGAAUAGGAGUAAU